GGAGGUAGAGCACUGAAUGGGCUAGGGCUGACAACAGUUACUGAACCCUAUCAAACUCCGAAUGCCAUAUACUUGUACCCCGGCAGUCAGACUACGAAUGAUAAGAUCCGUGGUCAAAAGGGAAACAGCCCAGACCAUCAGCUAAGGUCCCAAAGUGUAAGUUAAGUGGGAAAGGAUGUGGGAUUUCUAAGACAACUAGGAUGUUGGCUUAGAAGCAGCCACUCAUUUAAAGAGUGCGUAAUAGCUCACUAGUCGAGAGAUCUGCGCGAAGAUGUACGGGCUCAACUACCACGAAGCUAUGGAUGUAUACUUGUAUACGUGUAGAGGAGCUUCUGUACAGGUGAAGCCAUACGUAAGGAGUGGUGACAGUACAGAAGUGAGAAUGCUGGCAUAAGUAGCGAAAAACAAGUGAGAAUCUUGUUGGCCGAAUAUCUAAGGUUUCCUGGGGAAGGCUCGUCCUCCCAGGGUUAGUCGGGACCUAAGCCAAGGCCGAAAGGCGUAGGUGAUGGACAACUGGUUGAUAUUCCAGUACCGCCAUGAUGCGUUUGACAAAUGGGAUGACGUAGGAGGAUAGGAUGUGCGCACUAUUGGAUGUGCGUCUAAGCACUUAGGGUGUUAAGUAGGCAAAUCCGCUUAACAUUAAGCCUGAGGUGUGAUGGGGAGUCAUUUUUGACGAAGUAUCUGAUUCCACGCUGCCAAGAAAAGUCUCUAUGGAGCAAAAUGGUGCCCGUACCGCAAACCGACACAGGUAGAUGAGGAGAGAAUCCUAAGGCCGUCGGAAGAAUUACUGCUAAGGAACUCGGCAAAUUGACCCCGUAACUUAGGGAGAAGGGGUGCCUACGAGAGUAGGCCGCAGUGAAUAGGCUCAAGCAACUGUUUAUCAAAAACACAGGUCUCUGCUAAAGCGUAAGCUGAUGUAUAGGGGCUGACGCCUGCCCGGUGCUGGAAGGUUAAGGGGAAUAGUUAGCGUAAGCGAAGCUAUGAACUUAAGCCCCAGUAAACGGCGGCCGUAACUAUAACGGUCCUAAGGUAGCGAAAUUCCUUGUCGGGUAAGUUCCGACCCGCACGAAUGGCGUAAUGAUUUGAGCACUGUCUCGGCAGUAAAUCCGGUGAAAUUGUAGUGCAAGUGAAGAUGCUUGCUACCCGCGGUUGGACGGAAAGACCCCGUAGAGCUUUACUGUAGCUUAGCAUUGAAUUUCGGUAUUGUCUGUACAGGAUAGGUGGGAGACUUAGAAACCAGGGCGUCAGCUUUGGCGGAGUCAUCCUUGGGAUACCACCCUGAUAGUACUGGAAUUCUAACUGGAGGCCAUGAAUCUGGUCACAGGACAUUGCUAGGUGGGCAGUUUGACUGGGGCGGUCGCCUCCUAAAAGGUAACGGAGGCGCCCAAAGGUUCCCUCAGCGCGGUCGGAAAUCGCGCGUAGAGUGCAAAGGCAGAAGGGAGCCUGACUGCGACACAUACAGGUGGAGCAGGGACGAAAGUCGGGCUUAGUGAUCCGGUGGUUCUGUAUGGAAGGGCCAUCGCUCAACGGAUAAAAGCUACCUCGGGGAUAACAGGCUGAUCUCCCCCAAGAGUCCACAUCGACGGGGAGGUUUGGCACCUCGAUGUCGGCUCGUCGCAUCCUGGGGCUGUAGUCGGUCCCAAGGGUUGGGCUGUUCGCCCAUUAAAGCGGCACGCGAGCUGGGUUCAGAACGUCGUGAGACAGUUCGGUCCCUAUCCGCCGUGGGCGUAGGAAAUUUGAGAGGAGCUGUCCUUAGUACGAGAGGACCGGGAUGGACCAACCUCUGGUGCACCAGUUGUCACGCCAGUGGCACAGCUGGGUAGCUAUGUUGGGAAGGGAUAAACGCUGAAAGCAUCUAAGCGUGAAGCCCACCUCAAGAUUAGAUUUCCCAUAGCGUAAGCUAGUAAGACCCCUGAAAGACUAUCAGGUUGAUAGGUUGGAGGUGUAAGUACAGUAAUGUAUUCAGCUGACCAAUACUAAUAGGUCGAGGGCUUGAUCAA
RNAcentral lists this ribosomal RNA (2000 nucleotides) under Clostridium botulinum C str. Eklund. Its description in RNAcentral is "bacterial LSU rRNA". It matches the Rfam family "Bacterial large subunit ribosomal RNA", at positions 898 to 2925 of the family's 2925-position model. The record is from RNAcentral. Lineage: Bacteria; Bacillati; Bacillota; Clostridia; Eubacteriales; Clostridiaceae.